UGGGGAAUAUUGCACAAUGGGCGCAAGCCUGAUGCAGCCAUGCCGCGUGUGUGAAUAAGGCCUUCGGGUUGUAAAGCACUUUCAGCGGGGAGGAAGGCGGUGAGGUUAAUAACCUCAUCGAUUGACGUUACCCGCAGAAGAAGCACCGGCUAACUCCGUGCCAGCAGCCGCGGUAAGACGGAGGGUGCAAGCGUUAAUCGGAAUUACUGGGCGUAAAGCGCACGCAGGCGGUCUGUCAAGUCGGAUGUGAAAUCCCCGGGCUCAACCUGGGAGCUGCAUUCGAAACUGGCAGGCUAGAGUCUUGUAGAGGGGGGUAGAAUUCCAGGUGUAGCGGUGAAAUGCGUAGAGAUCUGGAGGAAUACCGGUGGCGAAGGCGGCCCCCUGGACAAAGACUGACGCUCAGGUGCGAAAGCGUGGGGAGCAAACAGG
RNAcentral lists this ribosomal RNA (429 nucleotides) under Chloroflexota bacterium. Its description in RNAcentral is "Chloroflexi bacterium partial 16S ribosomal RNA". It matches the Rfam family "Bacterial small subunit ribosomal RNA", at positions 355 to 776 of the family's 1533-position model. The record is from RNAcentral. Lineage: Bacteria; Bacillati; Chloroflexota.